This 2406-nucleotide long non-coding RNA is filed under the name Homo sapiens (human). RNAcentral's name for it is "HSALNT0359289". The record is from RNAcentral. Lineage: Eukaryota; Metazoa; Chordata; Mammalia; Primates; Hominidae.
UGAUCCACCCGCCUUUGCCUCCCAAAGUGCUGGGAUUACAGGUAUGAGCCAUGGUGCCCAGCCUCAACUGAUUUGUUCUUACAUUAGAAAAUGAGCAGGAGAGCUGAGCCACAAAUCUGUUUCCAUGCUGAUGUUUUCCCAUCCUGAAUAAUCAUCUGCCUGCCUGUGGAAAGGGAAAAUGCAAACGUCUCCAUGCAACUGAACACCCAAGUGUUUGCCAUAGUAUUAGCAAAACACAGCAUGGCCAAACAUGGAAAAUAGCCCCAGAGAAUGCCAUUUUGCUCAAGAAGACCUUGGAGGAAUAUCUGGCCUGUUCAAGCACUUUCCCUACCCUGAAUCUCUUUGGCUAUAAUUUGCCCAUUUUUAAUCAAUCAAUAAUCAUAUUUCUGGGUUCUGGGGCUGAGACAGAGAUCGAAGAAAGUGAAAGGCAUGGUUCAUGCCCUUAUAGAGACUACAUAUAGCUAGACCGAAAACAGUGAGAAGCAAAACUGUGGGUGCUUUGAACUGUACAUGCAGUGGGAAUUAAGGAAUGAUGUAGUCAGGCUGAAGUGACCAGGGACAUUUCCUGGGGACAGGACUUGAAGAUGAGUUGGCUUUAGACUAAUGCUGGGGAGUGGGAACUGACCUGGGCAGCAAAGCAAGGCACAGAGGCAGAGAUGAACUCUGAAUGUUCAGGGCUCACCAGGGAGACUGGCUGGGGGCUUCCAUGGGGAAGGAGAGGGAAGCCUGGUCAGAGAAUAGGACAAGACCAGGGAGAGAAGAUCUUGACAACAGAUGAAGGGCAGAGCGAGGAGUUUGAAUUUGAUGAGGACUGCCAUCUACUGGCAGUUGAUGCAGGCUCUUGGGCAGUAGUGUGGCCUUGGUCCCGCUGAGGUGGGCAGGGGGAGCUAGAGACAAGGAGAAUCUCUAGGAACCCCCAACCCUGAAACAGAAGCCUGAGUUUCAACUGGAGGCGGGAGAGGAGAGUCAGCGAGAACGAAGAUGGACAGACUGCGGAAACAUAAAUGAAGAUGGAGUCUCAAACUAUCACCUGGGCUGGAGUGCGAUGGCAUGAUCUCGGCUCACUGCAACCUCUGCCUCCAGGGUUCAAGCGAUUCUCCUGCCUCAGCCUCCCAAGUAGCUAGGACUACAGCUCCCGCAUACCUCCACCUGCCAUAUUGGCCUGCCAUGGUAGGCCAGGGAGAGAGAAAAAGGAAGAAAAGAGAAGAGAAAAGAAAAAUGUGUUGCCUACUGCCCCUGCCUUUAUUGGGAUGGACAGCUGGAGUAAACAUCAUCCAGAAAGACUGGGACUCUGGGUCCUCUCAAACCCAGCACACCCGCACCACGAAUACCAGCCCCCAGCAAGAAACCUCUAAGCACUUUGUGAGUAUUCAUCGCCUAAACAUAUUUCAUUUCCAGUCUUGCCCAACUGAUCUCAGCCUUAACUGUUUAACUGGGCUGGUCUCUGAGCAGACUCUGUAGCUGCCCUGAAAUCAGGUUACUGGCACAGCCUGUAGAUAUUGACUGAUUCAAAGAUUACAGUUGAGCAAACAGGAGCAUGUUAAUUUUUAAUUUCACUUUGUUGAUAAAUCGGGCUUCCUCUUUGUCCUAUAACCGAUAAUUACCUGGUCAGAAGAAACAUGCGAUACUUGACCUGCAAUGAAAGUCCACUUGUCUGGCCUUCCUGGCCCUAGCUGGGUUUUUCAAAGGAGCUCCCAUACUGGUUUGGCCUCAGUCAGCUGUUAAAGAAUUGAGGGACUUCUGAGUUGCGCAACCCUGAGUCAAUGUGAGACCCAAGCUGAACAGCAUGGGACUCUUAAGAAUUAAAGUGGAGACCUAAGGAAGAUCUUUGAGGUUUGGGAUUUGGGGUAGGAAUGGGGUUUUUUUCUAACAAAGGAGAGACUGUGACAGAGAAAGUGUUUCUUUCAUGGCUUCCAGUUCACACUAAGUCACCCUCAUUCUGGAGCCAAGGUUGUUCUCAAAGGUGACUUUACCACAGUAAAACAUGAGGACAGAAAACAGCAGCCGUGUGUCCGCCUCAUCACACAAGAGCCGUACUGUUUGCUAAGUCUCUUAGUUCACACAACCGUGGUGCCAUCCUGGGAAAUAAUUACCAGUACUCCCAUUGUAUGGAGAAAGAAUUAAUUUGCAGUUUAUAUCUCUAAAGGGUCCAAUUACUUCAUAUAGAGAUCUGUCGCAUUGUUUUUCUCUUCCUUUUUUUUUUUUUUCCCCCUGUUGCUUUUAGGGGCCAAAGCGGUUUCAGUUUGAAACCAUGAUGAAUUUAACAUAAAUCAAGAAAAGCAACAGAAGCAACUUUUCCCAUCUGGAAUGGAGUACAGCCUUCUAUUUUAUGCUAUUUGUCUACCCUGUCACUAACUGCAGAGAAAACGUUCUAAAAACUGCCCUUUGUAGCCUCAAGCCAUUUCC